CCUGCUUAUGGAUUUCCUACAGGCCUACUGACCAUUGUGAGGACACUACACUGGGCAAAGACUCUACAGGUCACUAGCUGGUUCUCAUUCCUACAAGACUAACAUUAUUUAGGGAUUUGAUGCACAAUCCGAAGCCUUGCAGUGCCUGGCAAUAAAGCAGAACCAUGCACCCAGCAACACCUUUGAUCUCAACCAUAUGGAGCUGCUCCAUGCUCUUGGAAAAAAAAGUCUCCCUUUCCUCCGAUGCAGGCCGAGAAAUACCAGGGGCCCCCAGAUGGCUGUAUACCACUCAUGACUGCGACUUCAUUGAUUAUUUUCUCUUCUGAUUGGUCCUGAUUGAAAAUAAAUAAAACAUGCACUUGGAACUGGAUGCAAA
Lacerta agilis (Sand lizard) is the source of this 376-nucleotide long non-coding RNA. RefSeq lists it as uncharacterized. The record is from RefSeq and is a predicted model, not a curated record. The transcript is spliced from 3 exons. Lineage: Eukaryota; Metazoa; Chordata; Lepidosauria; Squamata; Lacertidae.